Molecule: ribosomal RNA, 832 nt
Filed under: Chlorella sp. EN1234
Lineage: Eukaryota; Viridiplantae; Chlorophyta; Trebouxiophyceae; Chlorellales; Chlorellaceae
Description: bacterial LSU rRNA
Rfam family: Bacterial large subunit ribosomal RNA
Source: RNAcentral
GCUCUUUCAUGCGGUUACAAUCGUGGCAACUCUGAAUACUAGAUAUGCUUUUUAUGAGCCAGUGAGAGGGGGGGGAUAAGCUUCAUCGUCGAGAGGGAAACAGCCCAGAUCACUAGCUAAGGCCCCAAAAUGAUCGUUAAGUGACAAAGGAGGUGAGAAUGCAGAAACAACCAGGAGGUUUGCUUAGAAGCAGCCACCCUUUAAAGAGUGCGUAAUAGCUCACUGGUGGAGCGUUCUUGCGCCGAAAAUGUCCGGGACUAAAUGAUCUGCCGAAGCUGUGGGAUAUUUUACUUGAUAAAUAAAAUAUCGGUAGGGGAGCGUUCUGCUGUAGGGUGAAGCAGUAACGUAAGUUACUGUGGACGAAGCGGAAGUGAGAAUGUCGGCUUGAGUAACGCAAACAUUGGUGAGAAUCCAAUGCCCCGAAAACCUAAGGAUUCCUCCACUAGGUUCGUCCAUGGAGGGUGAGUCAGGACCUAAGGCGAGGCCGAAAGGCGUAGUCGAUGGCAAACAGGUUAAUAUUCCUGUACUAUUUGAUGUUUGGUACCGAGGGACGGAGCAGGCAUAAAUUGGCCAAAACUGGAUUUUGGUGGAAACUUUCAACACGAUGACAGGUAGAAGAAAAACUAUCCUUGAGUGAAGAAGUGAUACGUUUUCAGCUAUUAGUUGAAAAUCAAUUGAUUGUCAAACUUCCAAGAAAAGCUCGAACUACUGUAUAACAUGAAAUACCUGUACCCUAAACCGACACAGGUGGGUUGGUAGAGUAUACCAAGGGGGCGAGAUACUUUCUUAGAUGAAACUCGGCAAAUGACCCUUUUUUUUUUUGAGUUUGUUC